This 987-nucleotide ribosomal RNA is filed under the name Triticum aestivum (bread wheat). RNAcentral describes it as "partial small subunit ribosomal RNA". Lineage: Eukaryota; Viridiplantae; Streptophyta; Magnoliopsida; Poales; Poaceae. The record is from RNAcentral.
AUGGCUGCUUCGGCGGCCUUCGCGGCGGUGGCGGUCGUGAUGCUGGUGGCAGCGCACUUGGCCGCUGCGGCGGCGGCGGCUCCGGUGACGGCCCCAGCGUUCCUCUGGGCGCCGGAGAACUAUGGAUUCAGUUCCAAUGAGGCUAAAGGAGUAGUCCACUAUCAGACAAUGUCACCAGCAAGUUUAGCUAAAUCUGUUCUUGAUGAAGGUGGCUGGUCAAACUUGGUGUGUUCAAGGGAGGGCUCUUAUAAGAACGCUGACAUUGCUGUUGUUUUUCUUGGCUCGAAGCUACAAUCGUCAGACAUCUCUAAAGAUAAGCAAGUUGAUCCAUCUUUAGCAGACACACUAAAGCUGUCCUUCACAGGCUCAGAGUUUUCCAUGGCAUUUCCUUAUGUUGCUUUGGCAGAUAAUGACAAAUUGGAGAGCACAUUGCUGUCUGGACUUGCUGAGAAUUGUGACAACGAUUUUCGCGGAAACCACAUCACAUACACAGACACGUGUACUGUAAGUGGUGAAGAUCUGAAGAAACAUCAAAGCAUGGAUUCUAUUCGCGACUUGGUGAUGUCACAGAAGAGAAACAAUCCAAGGGGAAAGACUGAUCUAAUUGUCUUCUGUAAUGGUGGUUUCAAGGAUUUAGAUAAUGCAAAAUCAGAAGGGGAGUUGCUUUCCGAGCUGGUUUCUGUGCUGAAAAUGUCUGGGGCCAGAUAUACAGUUCUUUAUGCUUCUGAACCCUAUGGUUUACUGGAGAACACUUCCAACCUACCAUUAGCCAGGUAUCUUGCAGAGAAGACCAACACUACUACUAAAUCUGGCCUAGGCAAAUGUGAUGGGGAGUGCCUAGUAAAAUCAAGUCUUCUGGAAGGAACUUUUGUUGGACUAGUGCUGCUGAUCAUUUUGAUAUCAGGACUCUGCUGUAUGAUGGGAAUCGAUACCCCCUCGAGGUUUGAGGCUCCCCAGGAUUUGGUAGGAGAGUACAAAUCCCAUUGA